AAAUUAAAAAAACCCAUCACUUUUCAACCCUAAUAACCCUAAGCUCUCUCUUCACACAGUGUCCCUUUCGUCGCCUCCCUCACUCUCCGGUGGAGUGGAGAGAAGUCACUUUCCGUCGUUCUUUUCUCAGCAUCGCCUCCUGUGGUAACUUCUCCGGUAACAACAACAACAACAAUCUUCCAGUUAAGCUGAUUUUCUUCUUCAGUCCAGGUUGGAAGUGUUCAAGCAGAUGCUUCUCAAAGAGUAUUUUUAUAGAAUACGGAUUGAAUCAAAAUGAAGAAGCAAGAACAGAGCUGAGAGCAGUAGAUGUGUGGAUACUGACCGACAAGCCUUACUCUCAUCAAUCCAUUCAUUUGGUUAAAUAGUAAAUAGAGCUCAAAUUCCCACAAAAAGUUCAACACUCAUUUCUAUGAUCGCAGAUGAGGAUACUGUUGUUGGAUUUCUGCUGGCUGGAGUGGGUAAUGUUGACUUGCGAAGGAAGACAAAUGAUCUUAUUGUAGAUUCAAGCAGCUGCUAUUUUUAAUGAUUUUGUAUAUUUUCAUGUUAGUUGUUAGUGUUUCCAGAAUAAAUGAAGUUUUAUUAGAAUUGAAUAAGAAUAAAAUAAUUCUUACUAUCAAGAAUUUGCUAUACGAUGCAUAAAAUAAGCUUUUCAAUUAAUGUGGUUAUUUGGGAA
Non-coding RNA from Arachis ipaensis, 673 nucleotides. The record is from RefSeq and is a predicted model, not a curated record. Lineage: Eukaryota; Viridiplantae; Streptophyta; Magnoliopsida; Fabales; Fabaceae.